Molecule: long non-coding RNA, 1538 nt
Organism: Homarus americanus (American lobster)
Lineage: Eukaryota; Metazoa; Arthropoda; Malacostraca; Decapoda; Nephropidae
Exons: 6
Source: RefSeq, a predicted model, not a curated record
AUGGGAGUGAGGGUGUGUGUGGGAGGUCCUCCCAUACACACACACCCUCACUCUCUCACACACCCAACCUCCCACCUUUAAUGUGUGUGGAUGGGACUAAGGUUUUCUCAUUUCUUUCAGAUUGUGCGCCUCCGAGGUGAACGUCUGACUGAAGUGAACGUGUGGCUGGUCGAGAACUCCUCCAAACAGGUAAAGUACUUAUGACAAUAUAUAAUGUCUAUAUGCAAGUAUUUAUGAAUGUUAUGUUUUAAAGUUUUUUGUAUUCCAGGUUUGUUUGUGUGGCUGACUGGACCUACUACAAGGUGCUUCUUGCAGGUAAUAAAGAUACAUCAGUGAUGGUGAGGCCGUCACAUUACCAGCGGUUGUGGAUUUCUCAAUUCAACCUUUAUAUUGCAGACUCCACAUAAGGUAAAACACUUCCAUUCAGCAAUUGGUGUGCAGUGUCCAGAUUGUCAACAUUUAGUUCAGUAUGAUGUUACUUCUGGCCAGCUUAACCUGAGGAGAAAGUCAGUACAGUACACGAUUAGAUUUUGAAAAGGAAACUGCAAAAUCUCAUGGUGUUGUCCCGACCUCCGUAAAGUGUCAUUAAUGCAAGAACGAAUGUAAGUGUCGUCAAGACCAACACAUGUGGUAACUCCAACGAGAACCAGGUCAAUAAGCAUUGGCUACUUUAAGAAAAUGACUGCCCAAGGAUGAAUUUAUAUAUAACCAAGAAGAGUUACCUAACUAAGGUACAAGAUGCUAACUGAACAAUAUAUUAAACAUGAUAUUAUAUACAGUUAAGAGGUGUUAAAGUUCAUCUGCCCCAUAACACCAGGUACUAUAUAUGAACCCUAACCAUUAUUUACCAGACAAUGGUACCAUAUAUCUGUAAGUGAUGAAAGAAUAUAUUUAAAACAUGAAUCAAAACUUCCAACCAUUUUAGUCAAGAUAAAACAUCAAAAUAUCUCGUCAGAGUUGAGCAUAACUUAUCCAAUUUUUACGUACAAAGUUCAAGAGAGAUUGAAGAGUUUCCGUGAGAUAAUGACAACACCUUGACUAUAACAAAUGGUCUACCAUCACUGUACUACUUUACUAAGAUGAUUUACUACCCGUGUUAAUGUACGUACUUGUGAUAAAACUUACGUCACGUGUAAAUAAAGACAGACGAACACAGUUGACACAACUACUGAUGCACAAAUUAUAGUAAAUGAGAGUUCAUCAAUGUUCAACACAACUUAUCCAGUAAAGAUGAAAUUUUAAAGACAUAGAUGAUAAGUUUAACCUUUGCUUACUACUGUACUGUAAACAACAUUAUUAUUAUGAGUGAUAUUUAACCAACACCAAAUGUCUACACUAAGGCCAUGGUAGAAGAAAUUUACAUCUUACGAGCAGAUAAUUAUAACUUGUGCUUAAUAUCUAUAAAAGUGGCAUUUGUCACUUAUCUUUAUUUCUGGUACAUUCAUAGAGUUUGUUCAAGUGGUUUUAUAUUGAUGUAUAUCACUGUAUUCAAGUUUAUGUGUCACAUUUACCUUCUGUUAAAGUCAUUCAAACAUUUA